This is a long non-coding RNA of Mytilus californianus (California mussel), 377 nucleotides long. RefSeq lists it as uncharacterized. The record is from RefSeq and is a predicted model, not a curated record. Lineage: Eukaryota; Metazoa; Mollusca; Bivalvia; Mytilida; Mytilidae. The transcript has 3 exons.
AGAAUGGAACUGUACAUUUCUUGUCAUGUGAAGUAAUGACGUCAAUAUUUUGUGGCUUAACUCUAGAUGACCCAUUUCCAUUGCACUCUUUUCUAGAAGGGGUUGAUAUUGAGGAAUAUGACAUCAUAAUUGGAGCUUUGCAUGAAGCAGGAUGUCAUUGGUCUCUAAUGGUCAUCUUUCCAAAGAGACUUGAACUCAUUUACCUCAACCCUAUGGGUGAAUGUAGAGAAAUGAAAGACAUAUAUUUGCAAAAGUGGUUACAAUUUUUGAGUGACAGAUACAUAAAAGGAAUUGGUACCUACAUCAGUGAAGAAUGGACCAUCUCAUCGAGGCGACAUCAUAAACAGAUGGACUCAAACUCUUGUGGAGUUUUUGUA